CCUCAUCUUCUGCUCUUUGUGUGCUCUCCCUCUGAUAGCUAAGGCCUGAACUGUACUAGUGGCUGGUAGAGAUAGCUCCAAACACUUGAUGAUGUCACAUGUGUGAUGUCAUAAAGGAAGAUUAACAAAGAAAGUCGGCUGUUUAGAUCAGCGCUGGGGCCGCACAGACUCUGGGAGGAAGAGAGCAGCAGAGAUGGAAGCUCCUCCCCCUCCCCCACAUGACCCCCUGUGUUCCAUGCUGUAUUUCCUGCUUCACCAAUAAAGCUGCCCACGGGAAAAUGAAGCCUUCCCCUGCCCACAGCUGGUGCUAUGUACAAUUCUGCGGUGACGACUCAUUGAAAGGUUGGAAGAAGACUUCAUGACGGUCUGAGCAAGACAGAGAAGAAAAGAGAAGAGAGCGACUCAGAGAAGACACCUCCUAGGAUCAGAAUCCGCUGACAAAGUGAGGAAGCAUCUGGGCAUCAAGUUCUGCAGAGAGAAGAUAUAGCUGGAACAAAUCCUGGCAUCAGCAUAGUACAUAGAAGAGGCCUCGAGGCCGGAAGAAGCGCAUACCUGUGCGCGAAACCGCCGGCAGUCGCCUCUGAGCUCCCCACGCGUCCGCCAGCCCUGGUUCCGGAGGAGCAGCCCGAGAUGGGAGCCGUUUGAACAGAACUGAAGCGGUGAGUGCAGGACACCUGUUUUAUGUCUUUCUUGGGUAUUACGUUCAUUGCUGCAUAUUUGUUCUAGCACCACCGCCUCUGAAGUUUCUGGGUACUGCCCGAGUGUCACCAUUGUCCAUCUCGAGGCGCUGCGUUGAUAAGAUCUUUAAGCGCUGGUCCCUGCUUUCCUAUUGCUUGACUGCUGUGGAGAUUGCCGUGCCCUGGGAUAAGUGAAGCUGAUGUCUGUUCUUUAUUGUCUCCUUGAAAUAACUUAAAACUGACUUUAGUAAUAAUGAAUAAAAAUGUACU
Hyla sarda is the source of this 947-nucleotide long non-coding RNA. RefSeq lists it as uncharacterized. Lineage: Eukaryota; Metazoa; Chordata; Amphibia; Anura; Hylidae. The transcript is spliced from 6 exons. The record is from RefSeq and is a predicted model, not a curated record.